GGCGCCCUCUCGGCAAACGCCGCCACCAAGGGUGGUCGCUCCUCUGCUUCAUCCAGGGCUCCUUCGGGGCAGUCACCACCACCCGCCUCGGCCCCUCCUCCUACUGCGACGCUACCAGGGGCUGGCGGUCCACGUGUGUGCCAGCUUUGUGGUCGCGAUGGGCACUGGGCCUCGAAGUGUCACAAGCGCUUCCAGCGGGGUUUUCUUGGUCUCGGCAAUGACGGGAAGGAUACACGCAACUUUGCUCGUCAGGUCGCCAUGGCUGAUCGUCCGCCGCCGCAGAAGCCACAGGGACACACUCAGUCCUACUCCAUUGAUCCCCACUGGUACAUGGACUCUGGGGCGACAGAGCACCUGACCAGUGAGAUGGGGAAGCUUCACACUCGUGAACCCUACCAUGGUUCCGACAAGAUCCACACCGCCAAUGGAGCAGGUAUGCACAUCUCUCAUAUUGGUCAAGCAUCACUUCUCACUAGACAUGCCAAUAGGAGUCUUCAACUUCGCAAUGUUCUUCGAGUUCCAUCUGUGACACGUAAUCUUCUUUCAGUUCCUAAACUCACUCGUGAUAAUAAUGUGCUUUGUGAAUUUCAUCCUUUUGAUCUUUUUAUUAAGGAUCGGGGCACGAGGGACAUUCUUCUUAGUGGGCGGCUCUGCCAAGGUCUCUAUCGUCUGGAGCAUCCUGGCGUCGCUCGCGUCUUCAGUGGAGUUCGGGUAUCUCCGUCACAGUGGCAUGCUCGUCUUGGUCACCCGGCCACACCUAUUGUCCGGCAUGUUUUGCGUCGUCAUGAGCUUCCUAGUGUGUCUAGUAAUAAAGAUGUAGCAGUGUGUGAUGCUUGUCAGCAGGGGAAGAGUCAUCAACUUCCUUUUUCGGAGUCCAGUUGUGAGGUGAAACAUCCUUUAGAACUUGUGUUUUCAGAUGUAUGG
This 924-nucleotide ribosomal RNA is filed under the name Triticum aestivum (bread wheat). RNAcentral describes it as "partial small subunit ribosomal RNA". Lineage: Eukaryota; Viridiplantae; Streptophyta; Magnoliopsida; Poales; Poaceae. The record is from RNAcentral.